This is a long non-coding RNA of Bufo bufo (common toad), 146 nucleotides long. RefSeq lists it as uncharacterized. The record is from RefSeq and is a predicted model, not a curated record. NCBI's taxonomy places the organism in Eukaryota, Metazoa, Chordata, Amphibia, Anura, Bufonidae. The transcript has 3 exons.
GAUCUCCACCUUAUGGGCUCAUGCACACAAACGUAUUUUCUUUCUGCUUCCGUUCCAUUUUUUUUGCGGACCGUAUGCGGAAUCAUUCACUUCAAUGGGUCUGCAAAAACAAUGGAAGUUACUCAAUGUGCAUUCCAAUUCCGUAU